AUGCGAGCGGUAAGAGUGCGGCGGGACUUGGAAAUCGAAUCUGUGCUCUGUGAGAGAUCCUAGGAAAGGAAACUGGGAGCCCGGGAGAACUAAAAUUCCCAAUUAAAAGUGAAUUUAAAUCUGAGCUGUUCUUAGACCCAGAAUUUCUUGCCUGAAGGAGGAAUCAGGUCCCCACAAGGAAAGACCCUGCAACUGUAUAAAAAAAGAAUCUAAAAAGAUCAUGACUCCUUCAGUCCUUUCCCAAAGAGACCUAUGGAAAUUUCCUCAGGAAGAGGGACCAAGCAAAACCCCAGAAGAGUUGAUCUCAAAGCUUAUUUUAUGAAGAAAAUUGACCUGAGUGACACAAAGGGUUGGACUGUAGUAGAUGUCACGUUUUGCUGCCUAGAUCUCCAUCCAGGGAUGAACUCUUAUUUCCUCAGCUUCUUUGUCUCCUCAGCUUCUGGGAGGGUUGGCAGCUGAUAUUCUCACCUGAGUCCCUUUCUAGGACUUGCCCUUGCCUGAAGAGAGCUGUGCUGCCCAACAUGAUGCCUCCUCCAAGGUACAAUCCACACCCAGUGACUAAUAAACAGGGGUUACAAAGGCAUGCCUGCUUGCCCCAGUUUGGGACAACUUUACCAGGCCAACCCAGCCUCAAGGCUCUCCACAGGAACAGGGACCCUGAAAGCUGUGUCUAUGAAGUUAUUACAAGAUAUUGGCUACUGUGGUGCAUGGAGCUUCUAGGCCAGGGUGAUUCUCACACCUGCCUGAUGUGGAUCUUGUUGCUUCACACCUGAAACAUCAUUUGAGAAGCCCGGGAAGUGG
Molecule: long non-coding RNA, 801 nt
Filed under: Homo sapiens (human)
Lineage: Eukaryota; Metazoa; Chordata; Mammalia; Primates; Hominidae
Description: non-protein coding CPB2-AS1:17
Source: RNAcentral